Molecule: long non-coding RNA, 1667 nt
Organism: Astatotilapia calliptera (eastern happy)
Lineage: Eukaryota; Metazoa; Chordata; Actinopteri; Cichliformes; Cichlidae
Source: Ensembl
GGAAUCUCCUGAUGUGAGCUGUUUGAGAGGUUGUCUCUGUCUCAAUAAAAGUUCACUGAUUCCCCCAUCUGCAGCAGGUGUCCGGUUGUCUUCAUUCUCCGCCAGCCUGGAUCCGCUCCAGGGCAACUGGAACGGAGGGAGGAAAUCGGCCGUGGUCUGAGUGAACGGAGUUUGGACAAAAGCUGUGUGCACACAAAAACAAGGAUUUCUGGGCGGAUGUGUGAAGAAACGGUGUUUAUGGGUUAGGAGUUGGGGAUGCUAUUACACUGUAUUUACAGGAAAUGUUUUAUAGCACCUAUGGAAUGAGGAUGCCUGACUACGGUCAAUGUGCUGCUAAUGUUUGCUUUGCUUUGGUGAGAGGGGUGCAGUAGAAAACAGACAAGUGACAUGAAAACAAGUAAUAAUAACAAAUAACAAAUUUGGGGACAGUUUGACCUAGAGCCCACUAACUGGCCAUUAGGGGCUCUCUCGCUCUCGCUCUCUCUCUCUCUCUCUCUCUCUCUCUCUCUCUCUCUCUCUCUCUCUCUCUCUCUCUCAGGUUGUUGCUCUUUAACUCCUAGAACACGCCCUUGGCGAGGUGGGGGGAACUGGACCACCUUUCUGUGCCCCAUCAUCCUCUAUUAGACGACAUCCAAGCUAAGUAAACAUGUCUUGGCCCUUUCCCCCUGAAAUGACAGGCAGGCAAAGAUGUUGCGUCUUUGUUUGCUUCCUGGCCCUGGGUCUCAUUCCCAUUGGCAUAAUCCUGAUCUGUGAAGGGCCCCCGACACUUCUGACACCUUCAAGUUCAAAAGCUUCGCCCCCUUCUGACAGUCCCAAUCUGACAAAUGUAGCCCCUAGGGUCUUGCCCACCACUUCCUCUCCAGUUUUGCCCACGCCCGAUCCAUUUAGAAAGAAACGAGACACGGUUACCUCCUCGCCAACGGAUGAUGAAAACUCUGAUCGUGAGGGUGACGAACAUUAUCGUCUUUCUCUUGUUUAAAUGCUUCUAGAAUGGUUGUUUCUCUGUGGUGUUUUGUAUUAGGCUUGUUAUUAAUUGUUUCCCUCACCCACUUCCUCUUGAAGGAUAUAUCUGGUUGAACUGUGUCUGGUCGGGUUGUGAGGGUUAAGCGAUGUUCUCAGGGUCUCCGGACUUAAGCCUGAGCGAAUGUGUACUCCCACCAGUGGAUAUAAAUUGUUUUAUUCCACACCCCUUCCUCACUUUUUAACAUAUUCACUUUUGAAUGUCCUUAGCAGUUACCGUUCUGAGUUUAUUUUACGGUUGAUUUAUUCUUUCACAUUUUCACGUUUAUAUCUCUCAUUAUUAUAGUAUACUCUGUACUCUCCACAUUUUUAUCAUUACUUAUGCUUUUUGGUUGCUGAGUUACAGGAACUGUUAAUUUUGUGUCUCUACCCUGGUUGCACUAACUCGUUGUAUCCGUGUGUGCAGGACAGCUGUUACUGCUUUCAUCGGGAACCGAGACUGCUUGCAGCCGACCCCUGGGCAGGGUGGUGCCUGGACUCUUUUCUCCUCAUCUGCAAUGACAGAUAAAGACAAAUGAUAAGACCCGAGGAGUUUUUCGAGCCAGGCUUCGACACGUCUCUGUGUUCCUUUGAAUGUUACUUAUUUUUGUGUGUUGACCCAUUUAAGAUGGGUCAAAAGGGGGAUUUGAAGAAAAUAUAAUUUGAUC